This 268-nucleotide long non-coding RNA is filed under the name Elaeis guineensis (African oil palm). RNAcentral describes it as "long non-coding RNA (EGUI_LNC066113)". The record is from RNAcentral. Lineage: Eukaryota; Viridiplantae; Streptophyta; Magnoliopsida; Arecales; Arecaceae.
CAACAGACUGAUAGCGACGUUUGUAAUCGCCUGGUAGUGGGCCGUUCAAGGCCAUAAGGAGUUUGUUGCGGAGAGUAGUGGCGUCAGGGGCUGUUCAGAGCCACGUGGAGCUUGUCGCGGGGAGUGGAGUAGUGUCUGUUGUCGCGACUUGCCAGAGAGUGGUGGAGCCAUGUGGAAUCCGUCACAGGAAGUGGAGCAAAGUCAUGGCCAUUACUGUGGCCUGUCAGGGAGUCCAGGCCUGUCGGUCGAAGCUCGGUUGAGGUGUCUG